RNAcentral lists this ribosomal RNA (492 nucleotides) under uncultured bacterium. RNAcentral describes it as "partial 16S ribosomal RNA". It matches the Rfam family "Bacterial small subunit ribosomal RNA", at positions 29 to 507 of the family's 1533-position model. The record is from RNAcentral.
AGUGAACGCUGGCGGUAGGCCUAACACAUGCAAGUCGAACGGCAGCACAGUAAGAGCUUGCUCUUACGGGUGGCGAGUGGCGGACGGGUGAGGAAUACAUCGGAAUCUACUUUUUCGUGGGGGAUAACGUAGGGAAACUUACGCUAAUACCGCAUACGACCUACGGGUGAAAGCAGGGGAUCUUCGGACCUUGCGCGAUUGAAUGAGCCGAUGUCGGAUUAGCUAGUUGGCGGGGUAAAGGCCCACCAAGGCGACGAUCCGUAGCUGGUCUGAGAGGAUGAUCCGCCACACUGGAACUGAGACACGGUCCAGACUCCUACGGGAGGCAGCAGUGGGGAAUAUUAGACAAUGGGCGCAAGCCUGAUCCAGCCAUACCGCGUGGGUGAAGAAGGCCUUCGGGUUGUAAAGCCCUUUUGUUGGGAAAGAAAAGCAGCAGGUUAAUCCCCCGCUGUUCUGACGGUACCCAAAGAAUAAGCACCGGCUAACUUCGUG